AUUGAACGCUAGCGGGAUGCUUUACACAUGCAAGUCGAACGAGUGGCGGACGGGUGAGUAAUAUAUCGGAACGUGCCCAGUAGAGGGGGCUAACUACUCGAAAGAGUGGCUAAUACAGACUACUAUUGGAACUGCCGAUAUAGGAGUAGCUAGUUGCUGGGGUAAAUGCUCACCAAGGCAACGAUCCGAAGCUGGUUUGAGAGGAUGACCAGCCACACUGUGACUGAGAGCCGGCCCAGACGCCUACGGGAGGCAGCAGUGGGGAAUUGUGGACAAUGGGGGAAACCCUGAUCCAGCCCUCCCGCGUGUAUGAGAAGGCCUUCGGGUUGUAAAGUACUUUUGGCAGAGAAGCGGUAUCUGCAGAAUAAGCACCGGCUAACUACGUGCCAGCAGCCGCGGUAAUAC
Molecule: ribosomal RNA, 405 nt
Filed under: uncultured bacterium
Lineage: Bacteria
Description: partial 16S ribosomal RNA
Rfam family: Bacterial small subunit ribosomal RNA
Source: RNAcentral